ACGGAAGGCAGCAGUGGGGAAUAUUGCGCAAUGGGCGAAAGCCUGAUGCAGCGACGCCGCGUGAGUGAAGAAGUAUCUCGGUAUGUAAAGCUCUAUCAGCAGGGAAGAAAAUGACGGUACCUGACUAAGAAGCCCCGGCUAACUACGUGCCAGCAGCCGCGGUAAUACGUAGGGGGCAAGCGUUAUCCGGAUUUACUGGGUGUAAAGGGAGCGUAGACGGUUUGGCAAGUCUGAAGUGAAAUGCGGGGGCUCAACUCCUGAACUGCUUUGGAAACUGUCGAACUAGAGUGCAGGAGAGGUAAGUGGAAUUCCUAGUGUAGCGGUGAAAUGCGUAGAUAUUAGGAGGAACACCAGUGGCGAAGGCGGCUUACUGGACUGUAACUGACGUUGAGGCUCGAAAGCGUGGGGAGCAAACAGGAUUAGAUACCCUGGUA
This 434-nucleotide ribosomal RNA is filed under the name uncultured Lachnospiraceae bacterium. Its description in RNAcentral is "partial 16S ribosomal RNA". It matches the Rfam family "Bacterial small subunit ribosomal RNA", at positions 341 to 792 of the family's 1533-position model. Lineage: Bacteria; Bacillati; Bacillota; Clostridia; Lachnospirales; Lachnospiraceae. The record is from RNAcentral.